GACGAACGCUGGCGGCGCGCUUAACACAUGCAAGUCGAACGGAAAGGCCUGCUUUCCCUUGUGGUUUGCGGGUACUCGAGUGGCGAACGGGUGAGUAACACGUGAGUGAUCUGCCCCCAACUUGGGUAUAAGCCCGGGAAACUGGGUCUAAUUCUCGAUAGGACUGCAGGGUGGUGCCUGUGGUGGAAAUCGAUUUUCUAGUGGUUGGGGAUGAGCUCGCGGCCUAUCAGCUUGUUGGUGGGGUAAUGGCCUACCAAGGCGGCGACGGGUAGCCGGCCUGGGAGGGUGGACGGCCACAUUGGGACUGAGAUACGGCCCAGACUCCUACGGGAGGCAGCAGUGGGGAAUAUUGCACAGUGGGCGGAAGCCUGAUGCAGCGACGCCGCGUGGGGGAUGACGGCCUUCGGGUUGUAAACUCCUUUCGACCGAGAGGAAGCCACCCGGUUGGAAGGGUGGUGACGGUAGUGGUAGAAGAAGCACCGGCUAACUACGUG
Molecule: ribosomal RNA, 494 nt
Filed under: uncultured bacterium
Lineage: Bacteria
Description: partial 16S ribosomal RNA
Rfam family: Bacterial small subunit ribosomal RNA
Source: RNAcentral